This 253-nucleotide ribosomal RNA is filed under the name uncultured bacterium. Its description in RNAcentral is "partial 16S ribosomal RNA". It matches the Rfam family "Bacterial small subunit ribosomal RNA", at positions 524 to 776 of the family's 1533-position model. The record is from RNAcentral.
UACGGAGGGCGCAAGCGUUGUUCGGAAUCACUGGGCGUAAAGCGCGUGUAGGCGGUUCGGCAAGUCGGCUGUGAAAGCCCGAGGCUCAACCUCGGAACUGCAGCCGAAACUGCCGGGCUCGAGUCCCGGAGAGGGUGGCGGAAUUUCCGGUGUAGAGGUGAAAUUCGUAGAUAUCGGAAGGAACACCAGAGGCGAAGGCGGCCACCUGGACGGUGACUGACGCUGAGACGCGAAAGCGUGGGGAGCAAACAGG